AGAGUAAAGACGCAGGCGUUUCGAGCGAGAAAUCGCUCGCCAGUGCCGGCGGGACGGGGAGUUGUCCGCCGGACGAAAAGGGAUUUUCCCUUGCGGUUUGUGUCUUGCAUCCCGCU
RNAcentral lists this non-coding RNA (116 nucleotides) under bovine gut metagenome. Its description in RNAcentral is "THF riboswitch". It matches the Rfam family "THF (Tetrahydrofolate) riboswitch aptamer". From Rfam's summary of the family: THF riboswitch presents a pseudoknot that joins P1-P2 and the loop of P3 and two THF binding. The record is from RNAcentral.